This 73-nucleotide transfer RNA is filed under the name candidate division CPR3 bacterium. RNAcentral's name for it is "tRNA-Arg". It matches the Rfam family "tRNA". Rfam says of the family: Transfer RNA (tRNA) molecules are approximately 80 nucleotides in length. Their secondary structure includes four short double-helical elements and three loops (D, anti-codon, and T loops). Further hydrogen bonds mediate the characteristic L-shaped molecular structure. tRNAs have two regions of fundamental functional importance: the anti-codon, which is responsible for specific mRNA codon recognition, and the 3' end, to which the tRNAs corresponding amino acid is attached (by aminoacyl-tRNA synthetases). tRNAs cope with the degeneracy of the genetic code in two manners: having more than one tRNA (with a specific anti-codon) for a particular amino acid; and 'wobble' base-pairing, i.e. permitting non-standard base-pairing at the 3rd anti-codon position. Lineage: Bacteria; candidate division CPR3. The record is from RNAcentral.
GCGUCUGUAGCUCAAUGGAUAGAGCGUCAGUUUCCGGAACUGAAGAUUGCGGGUUCGACUCCCGCCAGACGCA